AAGUGAAGAAAUUCAACCAAGC
Molecule: small nuclear RNA, 22 nt
Filed under: Arabidopsis thaliana (thale cress)
Lineage: Eukaryota; Viridiplantae; Streptophyta; Magnoliopsida; Brassicales; Brassicaceae
Description: snRNA_02235
Source: RNAcentral